This 168-nucleotide microRNA precursor is filed under the name Pelobates cultripes (western spadefoot toad). Lineage: Eukaryota; Metazoa; Chordata; Amphibia; Anura; Pelobatidae. The record is from RNAcentral.
GCAGACACAUUCCAGUCAAUCAGCAGCAGACCCUCCCUCCCAGACCCUCCCACCUCCUGGACAGCAUCCAUUUUACAUUCAUUGUGAAGCUCCAUUCUUAGUGAGCUGUCCAGGAGGUGGGAGGGUCUGGGAGGGAGGGUGUGCUGCUGAUUGGUUGGAAUGUGUCUG